GCUGUGGAGAUCUGGCAUUGUGUUUCCUGCAUGAAAACAGUAGCUAAUGGUGCCUGGACUUACGACACCACUUCUGUAGUCACAGUAAAGUCUGCC
RNAcentral lists this microRNA precursor (96 nucleotides) under Dasypus novemcinctus (nine-banded armadillo). Its description in RNAcentral is "miRNA (ENSDNOG00000040943.1)". The record is from RNAcentral. Lineage: Eukaryota; Metazoa; Chordata; Mammalia; Cingulata; Dasypodidae.